GAUGAACGCUGGCGGCGUGCCUAUACAUGCAAGUCGAGCGAACAGACGAGGAGCUUGCUCCUCUGACGUUAGCGGCGGACGGGUGAGUAACACGUGGAUAACCUACCUAUAAGACUGGGAUAACUUCGGGAAACCGGAGCUAAUACCGGAUAAUAUAUUGAACCGCAUGGUUCAAUAGUGAAAGACGGUUUUGCUGUCACCUAUAGAUGGAUCCGCGCCGCAUUAGCUAGUUGGUAAGGUAACGGCUUACCAAGGCAACGAUGCGUAGCCGACCUGAGAGGGUGAUCGGCCACACUGGAACUGAGACACGGUCCAGACUCCUACGGGAGGCAGCAGUAGGGAAUCUUCCGCAAUGGGCGAAAGCUUGACGGAGCAACGCCGCGUGAGUGAUGAAGGUCUUCGGAUCGUAAAACUCUGUUAUUAGGGAAGAACAAAUGUGUAAGUAACUAUGCACGUCUUGACGGUACCUAAUCAGAAAGCCACGGCUAACUACGUG
RNAcentral lists this ribosomal RNA (496 nucleotides) under uncultured bacterium. RNAcentral's name for it is "partial 16S ribosomal RNA". It matches the Rfam family "Bacterial small subunit ribosomal RNA", at positions 28 to 507 of the family's 1533-position model. The record is from RNAcentral.